CUUUGCAAAAGUAACCAGCUCCCCAACCUCAAGCUUGCAAGCAAACUUAUUUGAGAAGUUAAACCCAUAAAGUCAUCUCACCUGAACUUGCAAAUCCGAUUAUUUGUUCUGGGAAAUACUGAGGGGAGAGGAGGCUUUCCCUUGUGACAAGGCAUCCCUGUCUGGGGCACCCACAUGCAACAGGCCGCAUCAUGACAGGAUAAAUUGUGAUCCUGGCAUGUCCUGACUGUAUAUGAGUGCAGAAGCAGAUUUGGAACAUAAACCCACAACCUUCUGGCC
Gopherus evgoodei (Goodes thornscrub tortoise) is the source of this 279-nucleotide long non-coding RNA. RefSeq lists it as uncharacterized. The record is from RefSeq and is a predicted model, not a curated record. NCBI's taxonomy places the organism in Eukaryota, Metazoa, Chordata, Testudines, Testudinidae. The transcript is spliced from 3 exons.